AAUGUUUACCUGACACAGAAAAAGAAAACUUUGCAGAUGUGAUUGUGGCAAAAGACCUGGAGAUGGGGAGGGGGAGCCCGAGUUCUCCAGAGCCUUCGGAAAGGAAUUCAGCCCAGUUGACACCUUGACUUUCACCAAUGAGACCUGUAUUGGACUUCUAACCCACACAACUAUAAGAGAAAGAGAGGAAGGGGAGUAGAGACAGCAAGAUGAAGAAAGAGAAACUUCGGGGUGAGAGAGAAACAUUGAUCUGUUGCCUCCCUUCAGGCCCCAAGCACCAACUGGGGAUAAAACCUACAAUCUAGAUACUCUUAAGAACCAGAGAUGCCAAGCAGGAACUGCCUGAAUCUACCCUCAGCUAAGAAGAAAAGUCCAGGCACAAUGAUAGCUGUCUGUAGUCACCAGUGUCUGGCGCAGUAUCACCAUUCCCUGUUUCCUCCCCCAGCCCUUGUAACACUUUUAUAGGCAAUUCCCUAAACUGCCCUAGUGUGAUUUGCUUUUUCCUGAGUGAAUGAUGAACAACACAAAUUUUACCUUUUCAAUC
Long non-coding RNA from Artibeus jamaicensis (Jamaican fruit-eating bat), 544 nucleotides. RefSeq lists it as uncharacterized. The record is from RefSeq and is a predicted model, not a curated record. The transcript has 5 exons. Lineage: Eukaryota; Metazoa; Chordata; Mammalia; Chiroptera; Phyllostomidae.